GUUGGGUCCGAGGCGCACACCGACUUCGGUAAGGUCUUUGGGACAAUUAAAACACCAGUUAAUCACAUGGUCCUUACUACUAUUUAAACAUAUAUUAUUCGAUUAAUUACUUGAAUACCUUUUUAUCAUUCAGUGGAUAAGAUUCACCGAUCACAGACUAGCAGGAUGGGUUUACUUACCAGAGAACAGGUCCUCGAAAGAAGUACCACCAAAGAAUUCUUUAAAUACUUCCUCAGGGUCUCUAAACAUAAAGGUACCAGUGAAGUGUGCAUCGAAGUCAUCCUUAUGUCGCCUUUUACCACCGGGCAUUUGAAGUCCUUCCUUUCCAUAUUGAUCGUAAACCCUUCUUUUCUUUUCUGAAAAGCAUAUAAAACAAUAAGCGAUUAUUGCUAAUUGUAAAAUAAAAAUUGAAGGCAGA
Molecule: long non-coding RNA, 418 nt
Organism: Bombus pascuorum
Lineage: Eukaryota; Metazoa; Arthropoda; Insecta; Hymenoptera; Apidae
Exons: 2
Source: RefSeq, a predicted model, not a curated record